CAGGGAUGAUCCUCUUUCCUUAACUCACACUGCUGUGCCUUUUAAUUCAUUUCACAAUUGUGUGAGUUGAGUGCAGAGUGUCAGUCUG
This 88-nucleotide microRNA precursor is filed under the name Chaetura pelagica (chimney swift). RNAcentral describes it as "mir-1426 microRNA precursor family". It matches the Rfam family "mir-1426 microRNA precursor family". Lineage: Eukaryota; Metazoa; Chordata; Aves; Apodiformes; Apodidae. The record is from Rfam by way of RNAcentral.